GAUGAACGCUGGCGGCGUGCCUAAUACAUGCAAGUCGAGCGAACAGAUCAGGAGCUUUCUCCUCUGACGUUAGCGGCGGACGGGUGAGUAACACGUGGUCAACCUACCUCUAAGACUGUGAUAACUUCGGGAAACCGGAGCUACUACCGGAUAAUAUAUUGAACCUAAAGGUUCAAUAGUGAAAGUCGCUUUUGCUUUCGCUAAUAGCUGACUCCGCCCCGCAUUAGUUAGUGGUUGAGGUAACGGCUUACCAAGGCGGCGAUGCGUAGCCGACCUGAGAGGGUGAUCGGGCAGAUGGGAAGUGAGGCAGGGUCCAGACACCUGCGGUAGGCAGCGGUAGGGAAUCUUACGCAAUGGGGGAGAGCCUGACGGAGCAACACCGCGUGAGUGAUGAAGGUCUUAGGAUGGUAAAAUUAUGUUAUUCGGAGAGAACAAAUGUGUAAGUAACUAUGCACGUAUUGACGGUACCUGAUGAGAAAGCCACGGCUAACUACGUG
Molecule: ribosomal RNA, 497 nt
Filed under: uncultured bacterium
Lineage: Bacteria
Description: partial 16S ribosomal RNA
Rfam family: Bacterial small subunit ribosomal RNA
Source: RNAcentral